Hordeum vulgare subsp. vulgare (domesticated barley) is the source of this 1282-nucleotide long non-coding RNA. RefSeq lists it as uncharacterized. NCBI's taxonomy places the organism in Eukaryota, Viridiplantae, Streptophyta, Magnoliopsida, Poales, Poaceae. The record is from RefSeq and is a predicted model, not a curated record. The transcript has 8 exons.
UCUGUUUUAUUAAUCAAUUCACAUCUCUCUUGCAUGGCCAAUCUGGCUGGUAGAUUCUCCAGAUCCGGCUAGUACGUGGUGGCAGCAAUCCUGCGAGUUCCUGUAGCAGAUAUGUCACAGACAAGAAUCUCUAUAAGUAUUUGAAGCAUCUUUCCUAUCGAAUGUUCUAAAUACAUCUUUAUGAUGCCAGGGCUACUGACAACCAGUUCAAGUUAAGUUGCUUGAUCUCCACUCCAGUUGGACCGGUUAGUUGAUUACAGAUUUGAGGAUGCCAGUUAUUCUGUAAUUUGCAGGGACCUCCAGAUCUUUUUGGCUCUCGAGUCCAUACUUCAAAGUUAAACCCAGGACUAACAUAGUUUGGUGAGGUGAUUAUGAAGAGAGUAUGAUGAAACAAUUAUAAUAGCCGGAAUUGAUUAUUCAUUGAUUGAGCAGAGGAGGCAACUUAUUACUCUCUGACAUCAACGACGUGGAGAUCAUUAUCAGUUGGUAGAUGUGAUCCGGUUCUAUGUAGACUGUCCUGACUGCUCGGGUAGGCAUGUUCUUUGAAGAAAGAAUCGAUGAUUGCGAAGCAAGCUCAUGUUUGAAUUCCUGAGAUGUUUUAUGUUACACAUAUUGCCUGUAAUUUGCAUUCCAGCCACAUAAUGUGUGAAAAGGGGGCCAAAAAACAAAAACGAGAUAUGUAAUGACGCCAACAAAAUAACUACUAAUGAUGAAGAAGGCUUCAUAGAUUGUGAUGAUGUUGGUGCAGAUGAAAAUGAAGAUGCUGAAAAUGCAAAAACAAACGGGUGCAAGUAGUGGAAGCUGAAAUAUAUUUGGAACCUUCCAAAAGGGAAUAGGAUAAUGGUUCGCAACAAUGACCUUCCAAAUAUUUUUUUGCACACAAGAGUAUUGUGCAGACCGAGAAAACAACAAAAGGUGCUAAUGCAGCUAUCAGACUGCUCAAGGUGGUUUGCUUAGUUGGUUGGGUGCUAGUGAACUAUAUGUUCAAAAGAUAAAUGGAUGAGUAUAUAUGGGUGGGUGGCAAGUAUACUUCAAUGAGGAUGUUGAUUUUCUGGAUCAUGGUGAUGAUGAUGGAUGAUUUCAGUUUUAUUUAAGUAGUAGGGAUGUCGUUCCCGUUGGAUGUUGUUUGUCGGUCUUGUUUUGGUUAAGUUGUAGGGAUGUUGAUGGAUGCUUUCAGUUUAAGUUUCACUGGCAAGAAAAUAGUUAGAUUAUGCAUCACAUUUGGAUGAUGUUCCUCAUGUAAUUUCCAAUAUUGUAAUCUAACAUUUUUAUGUAAUAUAUG